UGGGGAAUAUUGGACAAUGGGCGCAAGCCUGAUCCAGCCAUGCCGCGUGAGUGAUGAAGGCCCUAGGGUUGUAAAGCUCUUUCACCGGUGAAGAUAAUGACGGUAACCGGAGAAGAAGCCCCGGCUAACUUCGUGCCAGCAGCCGCGGUAAUACGAAGGGGGCUGGCGUUGUUCGGAUUUACUGGGCGUAAAGCGCACGUAGGCGGACUUUUAAGUCAGGGGUGAAAUCCCGGGGCUCAACCCCGGAACUGCCUUUGAUACUGGAAGUCUUGAGUAUGGUAGAGGUGAGUGGAAUUCCGAGUGUAGAGGUGAAAUUCGUAGAUAUUCGGAGGAACACCAGUGGCGAAGGCGGCUCACUGGACCAUUACUGACGCUGAGGUGCGAAAGCGUGGGGAGCAAACAGG
RNAcentral lists this ribosomal RNA (404 nucleotides) under Pseudomonas sp. RNAcentral's name for it is "partial 16S ribosomal RNA". It matches the Rfam family "Bacterial small subunit ribosomal RNA", at positions 355 to 776 of the family's 1533-position model. The record is from RNAcentral. Lineage: Bacteria; Pseudomonadati; Pseudomonadota; Gammaproteobacteria; Pseudomonadales; Pseudomonadaceae. RNAcentral also lists the same sequence under 3 other names.